CUCCACUCUAGUCAGUAGGUAACCUAUGUAGGUGUGAAUAAAUAAGAAGUGAUAAAAAUUUGUUCAAAUACAAUUUCGUACAUUCCUUGUCAUUUGUAUAACUAGUGAGAGUACAGGGUCAUCGUGUGAACGCCUUCAAGUUCUUUGGCAUCACGUGUCUACCCUCAAACUCAAUGAAUAAUCUUUUUUGCCUGUCUGCUGCACUGCUCAACCCCACGUUUUGACCAACUUUGUCAUUCCCCGUAAUAAAACGCCAUCCACAUGCGUCUAGACAGACCAAACUUAAGGAUGAGUACUUCAAAUGUCGAUAUACAAAUACUUUUAUUUAUAUACUACACCGCUUUAACGGGCAAAACCCUGGACGAGCGGACGAAUGUUGCAGGAACAGUACAAUUCUAUUCCGUCAUUCAACUUUUGCAAAAGCUUUUGCGACAGCGCCAGCAAGCGUCCAUUCAACCCACGCACCUUAUAUACCGUCAGUGUGUUUGUAUGUAUGCUCAGUUGUGCAGCUCAGCUUAUAAUAUUGCACACUUUGUGACAUACACAUACAUACAUACAAAGAGUUGUACAUUGUCAGCAGAAUUACAUUUGCCACCGCAGCAUAUGGGGUAGUGCUUAGUAGGGUUUGUGUUGUAGCAAUUUAUGCUUUUGGCGGUUGGCGUCUGAAGUUCUACGGAACCCCAACUCACCUUAACACGAAACUUGCUGUGGCAGUCUCAAACGGUAAACGGGGUUGAAUUCUUUCUGUGCGUUGCACCGCACAACAACACAAGCCAUGUCUACUGCAGCACCACGGCUGCAGCGCUUGCUCUGCUCUGCCACACCCUGUCCUGCAUUUUGCGGCAGACGUACGCUCACCCACAUACCCCAAAGGCGGUAGCACACCCGCAUGGCACACCCCGAGUGCGAGUAAUACUACGUAAGGCAACGAAACCAAGGCUGCUUUGAUUUUUCUUUCCAGCACAAGCACAGCAGUCUGUACAUACACACGCACGUGCAUGCAUACAUACAAACAAAACAGCACUUGCACGCGUACAGGCGCGGUAUGGGCAUGGUGAAUGACGAGACGACUUUAUCGAUCCAUGUGCAAGCGUAGCCAAAAGUGUUAUUGUGCCGAAGUCAAGAACCGACUACUUAGAUAAACCGACUGAUAGGUGACUGCAGAAGAAACAGCUAACAUGUACACUGCGUAUUAAACGCCUGGAAUUAUGCUUCAAAAACUCGUGUUAGCAAAUUGACGCCAAGAAAUAUGCAAAAAAUGCCUUUGAAGGUACUAAAGCGCGAGUAAUCGUGCUCGCUACCGAUUGUGCCGUUCACAGUUUCUAUGCUAAUCUUUCAAAUUUUGCCAAUUUAACGUUUGCUAUGCACUAUGUGUGCGUGAAAUGCCACUACGCAGCUAAGUUCACAAGUAACCGGUACUCAGCGAAUCAUUUGCUGCCUGUACCAUAACAAGGACGACGCCCUUUCAUUGUGACCUGUCCUGACCUUUGUUGUCUGCUCAACACUAUGUACUUCGCCGUCAUCAGCAACGUCGCCACCAUCGCCGCCGCCGCUGUUGUCGCCGCCACUGUCAACACAAACAAAAUGACAAUUACGCAAAUCAAUAAAAUAAGAACGCAAUAACGCAUUGUAGAUUUAUUAAUAAACGCGAGUUUUGCCAAAUUUGCAUUGCUCCGCUACAACAAAGAAAUAACUUUUCGUCAAUGAGUACACACACUUUUCGUCAAUGAGUAUACAACAAACAUGAAAAAAUGCAAUUUUGUACGCACUUAGCCACAAACGCAAGCCGGUUGGUUCGCCUGAAUGUAAAAUAAAACUAUUUAGCUCGAAAGAACAACAUUCGUUCGGAGGGUAGCGGAUUCAAACCCUGAUCAUGACAACGGCUGCUAAUAAAGCAAACUUUUUAAGAGGCUUUCGUCUUUCGCGGAAGAUUAUCGAACGCGGUGGAGCAUUUUCGACAGGCAAAACAAGUAGCGCUUUCAGAUAGUCAUACAACAUACAUACAUACAUACAUAUGUAUUUAUAUACGUCCAUCGAAACUUUGCUGGUCGAAAAUAUGUAUAUAUUUUUUUGUGGCUCGGCUUAGAUAGAGCUUAGACACAAAAUCGUAACGUUCGUUCAGCACAAACGAGAAUUUAAGCCAAAAAACGUUUUAAACUUUGCCGGACCAUAAAUAUCUUAAAGAUCUUGAAAUCUGCUGAUCUUGAAUUUCAUGAAAUAUUUUGCUGACUCACGCACGGGACACAGAAACAGAAAUGUGUGUACAGUACAGUAAUUAUUUUUUUUUUAUGUUCUCACUCACUCUUAGAUUCACUUUCCCUGUGUUUUUUUGUUUAUUUGAAACUCCUGACAACCUAACAACAACUAUUUAACGCAUUUUUUCAAAAAAAUUCUUUUACUUUUACUGCGAACGGUUUGAAGCCAAGUCCAUGAUUUUAAAAUGUUUUUUGAAAUUUCAUUGGUGACCACUUUAGCCAAGUGCGCCGGGAAGCAGUUUUUCGAACGUGAGAAAACAAUUCUACGGACCAAAUCAAAAGUGGUGCGACGAAUUGUAUGCUGAAAAAUUGAAAUAAAGCAAGUGUAUAAAAAGAAAAAAGGCUAAUUAACUGGGUGAAUUGACUGGAAUCGAAAUUAGGCGCCUCAGCGCUUUGACAAUACAUGAGGGUCUCUUGCUGCAUUCCUAGAAGUUAUUGGCAUUCUUAAUAACGGAUGUUUUCAAUUGUCAAAAAGUAGUAGUCACAUGAUCUUGGAAUCCCUUCCGAAGCCUAAUACACCAAGCUAACUUAAAGUUUUUUAGCGAAUUUUCAUGAAACCCGAACAUUCAGCGUUUUACCGUUAUGCAAAUAAAUAUUUUCACCAGCUACAAAUUUUGAGUAAAAUAAACGGCGCUUGGCAGACCAGUGGCAGUAUCACUUUGUACUAGGUGCGUAUACGCACAUAUCAAUCAGUGUACGAGUAUGUGUAAAUAUGUGUAUGUGUGUAUCAAAUACUUUUGUGCAAUUUAUGAAGACUUUUUUUAAGGAUUCUCCUUCCGCAUUUGAGAAUUUAAAAAGACCCUGCCUGGGCCCGGGAAAUGAUUGAAUUUGUAUGUAUCGGCUGUCUGAGCUGGCGCAUAACAACAACAAAAGGCCAGUAAGUGCAGACCACACGACAGAGUGAAUCUAAACGCCACGAACGGCCAGAUAUGGCGCUACAACUGAUAUAUGACUUUUUCUGCAUGCUUAUCUACACAUAUGUACAUAUAUAUUUGUAUAUAUAUGUGUGUGUAUAUAAAUAUAUAUAUAUUACCUUUGCAUGCAUACAUAUGUAUAUUCGUGCAGUGCAUAUAUUAAAUUAGUAUCUCGCAAUGGCACAUAAGCCCAAACACGAGAAUAUCAGCAAUGUGAAGUGGUGUAAGGUCAAUGUCGCUUGAAACGAAACGAAACUCUGUACGUCUCUGCCGCAGACGUAUGCCCAGUCUGUGUGUGGCGAGGCAACAACAAGCGCCAACAAACGGCCGCCACCAUAUACAUGCAUAUGUAUGUAUGUAUGUGCAUAGCUACUGUGUACAUACAUAUGUACAUGCAAGGCAAGCACGUUACACCCAGUCGGCGGCUCACGGUAACAAGGAAAAGCGACGAGGCGACAAGUCGGCAAAUUGGCAAGCCGGCAAGGCAAGGUAUGCCGGUGCUUUCGCCUUUGUUCUUGUUGUUACAGCUGGUGAUUGUCAGGCGUUGCAUUGUCGGUGCACUGUGAUUCACAUGCAUUCAAUAAGAGGGAAUGGGCAACGGUUAAAGACCGACUAUAUAUGCGGCGAUACAGCAAUAUGUAAGAUUAUACACGUAUGUACGUCGGCAUUGGUUUGCCCUGCUGGAAAAACAAGCACUCAGGCGUGAAGGAAGUUGUUAUAUUUUAUCAAAAAUCCCGCAUAGUUUUAGAAAUAUUGGAUAUGUGGUUGUUGAAGUAAGAAACAUUCAGGAAUAGGUUUGAGAAAUACUCGUCGUGCUCAUAAAUAGUUUCGGUUGCGUGGGCUCGAUUACCAAAGGAUAUCGAUAUCGAUUGCUGUAGAAAUCAAACAAAAUAUCUGAGAAACUAUUAUUUGAGCUGUAGUUUUCUAACAUGUAAAUUCAAUUUAAUUACAAAAAGUUACGUUUUGGUUUGAUUAUAUUGAAGGGAUUUGUCUAGAGGCUCUACAAAAUUUUCUUUUGAGGCAUUACAGCGGACGUGUAUAUAGACUAGAAUUUUACUCAUAAUAUAAUAUAUAGGUAGCUAAGUAUGUAUGUAUGCAUGAGUGCUUGUAUUAUACUGCAUUUCUAUCUUUGAUGGUGUUCUUGCAGACACUUUGUGUGAAUAGUCGAACAAGAUCUCCAUCAAAGAGCCAAAAACCGAAGCAGUUGCAAUGACAGCAGUAGGUGUGGCAUAGCAAUGAAUUUUCAAAGCAUAAAACCAAAAUUUUAUUAAUAAUGAAUAAAAAUACAAACAUGUCUUCGGAAAAAUAUAUGUACAAGUAUAUGUACGUACCUAUGUAGGUAGCAAUAAUUUGCGAAAAUGUCUGCAAACGAUUAGCUGAGCAUCACGCUUUUUAUUGAAUUGCAUUACUGACUCAUCAACUUAUUAAUUGGUUUUUUUUUUUUCUUUUUUUAAUGUAAUGAAUGAAGUGACUAAUCACAGUACAUAAUAUCGUAUAUUUAGCGUGGAGAAAGCAAUUUUUGGAGUUUGUAAUGCUAUAUUCCUUGCAAUACAGUAUUUGUAAAACUAUAGGAUGCUUGAACCAAUAGCAGCCAACUGGUGCAAGGUACAAUGCAUCGGUUCCCACAAAAAUCGAGUUUACGAAACCGGACGAAGCCGAUUUAAUAUCUGAUGAAGCAUUGGCAGCACGGCCGUAUUACUCAAUAUUAAUUAACAUGCAACAAAACAAGAGGAAUAUAGUAUGGGUCUCAAGCGGAGACAUUUUGGCUGUUGUGAUUGAAGUUUAGUGAAAGAUCGUAAUAACGCAAACUACUAAUCCUAUAUAAGAAGACACAUAUGUAUGUCAGUCUUACUCUUGUGAGACUAUAAAAAAAUAUAACGGAACUGGUAGAAAUUUAAAACUAAAAUAUAAAAUACUUAUAUUAAA
Molecule: non-coding RNA, 5095 nt
Organism: Bactrocera oleae (olive fruit fly)
Lineage: Eukaryota; Metazoa; Arthropoda; Insecta; Diptera; Tephritidae
Source: RefSeq, a predicted model, not a curated record